AAAAUGAGAGUUUGAUCCUGGCUCAGGAUGAACGCUGGCGGUAUGCUUAACACAUGCAAGUCGAACGGGGUUACCGGUACAAAGGGCUUCGGCCCAAUGAACUGACUAACCUAGUGGCGGACGGGUGAGUAACACGUGAGUAACCAACCUUAUACACAAGGAUAACACUGGGAAACCAGUGCUAAUACUAGAUAUUAUAUAAAGAAGGCAUCUUUUUUAUAUGAAAGAUUUAUCGGUAUAAGACGGGCUCGCGUCCGAUUAGCUAGUUGGUAGGAUAGAAGCCUACCAAGGCGACGAUCGGUAGCCGGACUGAGAGGUCGAUCGGCCACACUGGGACUGAGAACGGCCCAGACUCCUACGGGAGGCAGCAGUGGGGAAUAUUGGGCAAUGGAGGCAACUCUGACCCAGCGAUACCGCGUGAAGGAAGAAGGCCUUCGGGUUGUAAACUUCUUUAGACAGGGAAGAAAGAAAUGACAUUACCUGUAGAAUAAGCCACGGCUAACUACGUGCCAGCAGCCGCGGUAAUACGUAGGUGGCAAGCGUUAUCCGGAAUUAGUGGGCGUAAAGAGCGCGCAGGUGGUUGAUUAAGUCUGAUGUGAAAGCCCACGGCU
This 611-nucleotide ribosomal RNA is filed under the name Fastidiosipila sp. RNAcentral describes it as "bacterial SSU rRNA". It matches the Rfam family "Bacterial small subunit ribosomal RNA", at positions 1 to 609 of the family's 1533-position model. Lineage: Bacteria; Bacillati; Bacillota; Clostridia; Eubacteriales; Oscillospiraceae. The record is from RNAcentral.